RNAcentral lists this long non-coding RNA (2070 nucleotides) under Macaca mulatta (Rhesus monkey). Its description in RNAcentral is "lncRNA (ENSMMUG00000053516.1)". Lineage: Eukaryota; Metazoa; Chordata; Mammalia; Primates; Cercopithecidae. The record is from RNAcentral.
CGACACAAGUUUGUAAUUCCAUAAAACUUUUGAUGUUAACUCAUAUUACAAGCCAUUUUUUCUUUUGCUUUAUUCAGCUGGGCUUCUUGUCAAGAAGAUCCUGACAACUGUGAAAACACUGUUUUCGUGACUUUGUGUCAAUUCAAGAAGAGGCAUAAUUCAGACUUCCUCUCCAAUGACCGCCAUCUGUUCUUCCUGAGGUACCACACAAAGGCCAGGACUCCGAGGAAGGUAGAAGGCCUAUCCUGUGGGACAGACAUUUCCUUUGGUCUGAUGGGUAUGGGGCCAGAGUAUGUGGCUACUCAAGCAUAUUUAUUUUAGUUAAAGUGAAAGCAUGCAUUCUUUUGUUAUAUUUUCUUAAUUUUUUUUGAGAUAGAGUCUUACUCUGUUGCCUAGGCUGGAGUACCGUGGUACACUCACAGUUCACUGCAGCCUCAAUCUCCCUGGGCUCAGGUGAUCCCCACACUUCAGUCUCCUGAGUCACUGGGACUCCUGAGUCACUGGGGAUACAUGUGCAAAUCACCAGGCCUGGCUAAUUUUUAAAAUAUUUUUUGUUGACUGUUGAAAAUUACAUAUAUAUAUGAUCAAAAAUAUUCUGUAAUUAGGUUUUUCACUUAAUAAAUACAUUAUGAACCUCUUUCUAUAACACAUUUAUAUUAUUAAUUUUAAUAACUGUAUAUUAUUUAAUUAUAUGACUGUUUCAAAAUAUGUGUAUCCCCUCCUAUAAGGCUAAGUUUUUUCCAUUAUUUAACAAAAUAAUAUCCACUAAUGUUUUUAUCUUUGUUGCCUCAGGCUCCCAGAAGUAGGACAUUGAAAUAAAAGUUAUAGUCAUUUUUUCACAUGGAAUUUUCCCUAUAAAAAUAUAACCAGUUUUCAAUCCCUAUAACAAUGUAGAAGAGGAUUUUAUCUAGUUGUUUGCCAACGUGGCAAGACUAAAGAUGGCCUCUCAUUUCAAUUUUCACUGAUUUUUCUAUUAGCUGUUACCUACCUUUGCUAUCGAAUUUUAAAAAUAAGAUUCUCACAAAAGCCUCAGUUAGUUGCUCUGCAUUCCUGGUCCUUGUCUUUGUACAAUACUUCCUAGAAAUUGUAUUAAUACUAUAUGAUUCUACCCCCACUACUCUAUAUAGUAACAGGUUAGAUUUCACAUUGUUGGUUAUUAAAAGGCUAAUGAAUGAAUCUAGUCAAGUGUGAUGUACUAAGAGAUCACAAACUGAACUGAGUUCAAGCUUCAAACCCCGUGAAAGAUUUUUUCUGCCAAAACGGAAUCUGGAGGAGUGUUCCGCAUUCCUCAGCUUGUUAUGGUAACAGCACUGGCAUGGCACUGGAAGUUAAAGAAACUUUGAACUGAUAAAGCGGUUACCAAAAUACUAAACAGUUAGCAGAUGAAAAUAAUGCCAUGGUGCCCUAUUCCUGCGAACAGCUCUCAUGCUGCAGCAUGACAUCCACAUGAUAAUCAUUGCACUGAAUUAUACAGAAGGGCACUUAUACAAAAAAGAAGUCCACAACUCUCAUGGUAGGAAAUAGAACCCCUCAGCACAACAUUCACAAUAAGACAAAAAAGUUCUCAUUGAAUUGUUUUUGUUCCUUUGAUUUACUUUGUGGAUGAUUCUCAAAUCUCUAUCUCAUGUCAUCAUCUCCCCCAUGAAAUUCCAAAUAUGCCCUGAACAUUCUCAUCCUGUUGUUAUCCUUUGGCCCUAAUUCAUCAUGUCUGAAAACAAACCCAUGAUCCCUACCCUCCACCUCUGAAUAGAGACUUCCCCAGACUGGUCUGUUUCUAUUCAGGAUUAUUGUCCCACUUAUUCUGGUUCAAAACCUCUUCAUUUCUGCCAUAUUCAACCUGUUUUCUGUGUUCUUAUGAUAUAUUUUUGUUUGCUUGCCAAUGUAUUAUUCUUUAGCCUUUCUCAUUCAUCCCAAUGAUCAUUCAUCCCAAUGUUAUCCCUAAUAAUAUUGUUAUUAUAAUCCUUUAACAACAACAAAAAAAGAAAAGUUCUUAAAACUGUUCUCCCUGCCCAUAACGUAUUUGCUGCUGAUUCUUCUUCAGUUAAUCUUAACUUCUUGAGUUGAUUCUGC